AGCACUACAACGGGUGGAGCCUGCGGUUUAAUUGGACUCAACGCCGGAAAACUCACCGGGGCGACAGCAAUAUGUAGGUCAAGCUAAAGACUUUACCAGAAUCGCUGAGAGGAGGUGCAUGGCCGUCGUCAGUUCGUACUGUGAAGCAUCCUGUUAAGUCAGGCAACGAGCGAGACCCGUGCCCACUGUUGCCAGCAUGUCCUUCGGGAUGAUGGGUACUCUGUGGGACCGCCGAUGCUAAAUCGGAGGAAGGUGCGGGCUACGGUAGGUCAGUAUGCCCCGAAUCUCCCGGGCUACACGCGGGCUACAAUGACUGGGACAAUGGGCUCCUACCCCGAAAGGGGAUGGUAAUCUCAUAAACCCAGCCUUAGUUCGGAUCGAGGGCUGUAACCCGCCCUCGUGAAGCUGGAAUCCGUAGUAAUCGCGUUUCAACAUAGCGCGGUGAAUACGUCCCUGCUCCUU
Molecule: ribosomal RNA, 462 nt
Filed under: uncultured Methanomethylovorans sp.
Lineage: Archaea; Methanobacteriati; Methanobacteriota; Methanomicrobia; Methanosarcinales; Methanosarcinaceae
Description: bacterial SSU rRNA
Rfam family: Archaeal small subunit ribosomal RNA
Source: RNAcentral